GUAGGUGAACCUGCGGAAGGAUCAUUAACACGUAUCCAAACGUUAAAACCCCCCUGUGAACCUUCAACACCAAUGCAUCCUGCACACGUUCACGGGUCAACUCCUAGUAAAUCAUUGUCUGAAUCAGAUUUUGAGUUAGGGGCCUCCCUUCAGAGUCCCAAGUGGCUCCAUUGAUCUGAAAGUGUUCAUUCGGGUUGCGUAAGAGUUGGCGCAGUAAACGAUCGUUGGGCCCACACGGCCCAGCGUCCGGGGCCUCUCCGCGGUUACAAUCGGCGGCAAGGGAUACGCACGGAGCUUAUCUCAAUGACGAGAGAGGCGGCCGGCGCCGAAAGGUUGUAGGCAUUUAAAAAACGAACAACUGUUAACAAUGGAUAUCUUGGUUCUC
This 385-nucleotide unclassified non-coding RNA is filed under the name rhizosphere metagenome. RNAcentral describes it as "partial ribosomal RNA internal transcribed spacer region". The record is from RNAcentral.